This 506-nucleotide ribosomal RNA is filed under the name uncultured bacterium. RNAcentral describes it as "partial 16S ribosomal RNA". It matches the Rfam family "Bacterial small subunit ribosomal RNA", at positions 30 to 523 of the family's 1533-position model. The record is from RNAcentral.
AUUGAACGCUGGCGGCAGGCCUAACACAUGCAAGUCGAACGGCAGCACAGAAGAGCUUGCUCUUUGGGUGGCGAGUGGCGGACGGGUGAGUAAUGUCUGGGAAACUGCCCGAUGGAGGGGGAUAACUACUGGAAACGGUAGCUAAUACCGCAUAACGUCGCGAGACCAAAGUGGGGGACCUUCGGGCCUCACACCAUCGGAUGUGCCCAGAUGGGAUUAGCUAGUAGGUGGGGUAAUGGCUCACCUAGGCGACGAUCCCUAGCUGGUCUGAGAGGAUGGCCAGCCACACUGGAACUGAGACACGGUCCAGACUCCUACGGGAGGCAGCAGUGGGGAAUAUUGCACAAUGGGCGAAAGCCUGAUGCAGCCAUGCCGCGUGUAUGAAGAAGGCCUUCGGGUUGUAAAGUACUUUCAGCGGGGAGGAUGGCGGUGAGGUUAAUAACCUUGCCGAUUGACGUUACCCGCAGAAGAAGCACCGGCUAACUCCGUGCCAGCCGCCGCGGUAA